GACUUUUAUCUUGCUAUGUCGAUGUGACGUCAUAGGCGCGCGCCGCGCUCCGGCUCUGUUGUGAUUCGGCUGAAGAAAGGUGUUUUUAAUCACUUAAAGUGUUUAAAUCUAUGGAAACAGUUAUUUUUUGACAAGAGCUGUAAAGUGUUUUUUUGAACAGAAGCUCCUGUUGAAGAGACUGAGACACACAGUGUUAUAAAGAUGGAGUUUAUUAAAGAGGAGAGAGAAGACGUGAAGAUUGAAGAAACAUUCAGAGUCAAACAUGAAGAUACUGAGACACACACAG
Cyprinus carpio (common carp) is the source of this 286-nucleotide long non-coding RNA. RefSeq lists it as uncharacterized. The transcript is spliced from 2 exons. The record is from RefSeq and is a predicted model, not a curated record. NCBI's taxonomy places the organism in Eukaryota, Metazoa, Chordata, Actinopteri, Cypriniformes, Cyprinidae.